This 361-nucleotide ribosomal RNA is filed under the name uncultured bacterium. RNAcentral's name for it is "bacterial SSU rRNA". It matches the Rfam family "Bacterial small subunit ribosomal RNA", at positions 335 to 713 of the family's 1533-position model. The record is from RNAcentral.
ACUCCUACGGGAGGCAGCAGUGGGGAAUAUUGGACAAUGGGGGCAACCCUGAUCCAGCCAUGCCGCGUGAGUGAUGAAGGCCUUAGGGUUGUAAAGCUCUUUCAGCGAGGAGGAUAAUGACGUUACUCGCAGAAGAAGCCCCGGCUAACUUCGUGCCAGCAGCCGCGGUAAUACGAAGGGGGGCUAGCGUUGUUCGGAAUCACUGGGCGUAAAGCGCACGUAGGCGGAUUGAUAAGUUAGGGGUGAAAUCCCGGGCUCAACCUCGGAACUGCCUUUGAUACUGUCAGUCUUGAGUCCGAGAGAGGUGAGUGGAACUCCGAGUGUAGAGGUGAAAUUCGUAGAUAUUCGGAAGAACACCAGU